Molecule: long non-coding RNA, 452 nt
Filed under: Prunus dulcis (almond)
Lineage: Eukaryota; Viridiplantae; Streptophyta; Magnoliopsida; Rosales; Rosaceae
Description: sRNA ncRNA
Source: RNAcentral
AUGGCUGAACCUCUGAUUUGCUCGUGGACGGUGUUUGGUAUUGACUGUGAUGAAGGAAUACAAAUAUUUUUUCAGGGUAAUGAUCAUAUUAAGGCCAUGAUGAGUACAAGGACUACUCGUGGAGUUUGCCUUGUUAAGGUAAAUUCAUCCUUCCCUUCAUGUGUAAUCAUAAGUUUUGUACAAACCUCUCUCUCUCUCUCUCUCUCUCUCUCUCUCAAACUUGGUGGAAAACUUGGGAUUCAAAGUCUUGAAAUUUGUUCAUGGUAACCUUGUCUGAUAUCAGAAAGGAUAAACAUGUCCUUUUCUACUGGUUUCUAAAGUUUUAAAUGAAAUAUUUCAGGUUGAGGUGUUUAACAUGCACAACAGUGGAGUGUGAAGCUAAAGUGGCCAUGUUGAAUGCUCCCUCAUUCUUCACCUCUUAUAUUCAUUUGAGUCAGAUUUUCACAAACUGA